This 75-nucleotide transfer RNA is filed under the name Minisyncoccota bacterium. RNAcentral's name for it is "tRNA-Glu". It matches the Rfam family "tRNA". Rfam says of the family: Transfer RNA (tRNA) molecules are approximately 80 nucleotides in length. Their secondary structure includes four short double-helical elements and three loops (D, anti-codon, and T loops). The record is from RNAcentral. Lineage: Bacteria; Bacillati; Minisyncoccota.
GGCGGUGUCGUCUAAUGGUUAGGACGCUAGAUUCUCAUUCUAGUAACCGGGGUUCGAUUCCCCGUAUCGCUACCA